ACACAUGCAGUCGGACGGUAGCACAGAAGAGCUUGCUCUUCGGGUGACGAGUGGCGGACGGGUGAGUAAUGUCUGGGAAACUGCCCGAUGGCGGGGGAUAACUACUGGAAACGGUAGCUAAUACCGCAUAACGUCGCAAGACCAAAGUGGGGGACCUUCGGGCCUCACGCCAUCGGAUGUGCCCAGAUGGGAUUAGCUAGUAGGUGGGGUAACGGCUCACCUAGGCGACGAUCCCUAGCUGGUCUGAGAGGAUGACCAGCCACACUGGAACUGAGACACGGUCCAGACUCCUACGGGAGGCAGCAGUGGGGAAUAUUGCACAAUGGGCGCAAGCCUGAUGCAGCCAUGCCGCGUGUAUGAAGAAGGCCUUCGGGUUGUAAAGUACUUUCAGCGGGGAGGAAGGCGGUAAGGUUAAUAACCUUGCCGAUUGACGUUACCCGCAGAAGAAGCACCGGCUAACUCCGUGCCAGCAGCCGCGGUAAUACGGAGGGUGCAAGCGUUAAUCGGAAUUACUGGGCGUAAAGCGCACGCAGGCGGUCUGUUAAGUCAGAUGUGAAAUCCCCGGGCUUAACCUGGGAACUGCAUUUGAAACUGGCAGGCUUGAGUCUCGUAGAGGGGGGUAGAAUUCCAGGUGUAGCGGUGAAAUGCGUAGAGAUCUGGAGGAAUACCGGUGGCGAAGGCGGCCCCCUGGACGAAGACUGACGCUCAGGUGCGAAAGCGUGGGGAGCAAACAGGAUUAGAUACCCUGGUAGUCCACGCCGUAAACGAUGUCGACUUGGAGGUUGUGCCCUUGAGGCGUGGCUUCCGGAGCUAACGCGUUAAGUCGACCGCCUGGGGAGUACGGCCGCAAGGUUAAAACUCAAAUGAAUUGACGGGGGCCCGCACAAGCGGUGGAGCAUGUGGUUUAAUUCGAUGCAACGCGAAGAACCUUACCUGGCCUUGACAUCCAGAGAACUUUCCAGAGAUGGAUUGGUGCCUUCGGGAACUCUGAGACAGGUGCUGCAUGGCUGUCGUCAGCUCGUGUUGUGAAAUGUUGGGUUAAGUCCCGCAACGAGCGCAACCCUUAUCCUUUGUUGCCAGCGGUAGUGCCGGGAACUCAAGGGAAACUGCCGGUGAUAAACCGGAGGAAGGUGGGGAUGACGUCAGUCAUCAUGGCCCUUACGGCCAGGGCUACACACGUGCUACAAUGGCGCAUACAAAGAGAAGC
RNAcentral lists this ribosomal RNA (1207 nucleotides) under Pantoea wallisii. Its description in RNAcentral is "bacterial SSU rRNA". It matches the Rfam family "Bacterial small subunit ribosomal RNA", at positions 51 to 1250 of the family's 1533-position model. Lineage: Bacteria; Pseudomonadati; Pseudomonadota; Gammaproteobacteria; Enterobacterales; Erwiniaceae. The record is from RNAcentral.